Molecule: ribosomal RNA, 301 nt
Filed under: uncultured bacterium
Lineage: Bacteria
Description: partial 16S ribosomal RNA
Rfam family: Bacterial small subunit ribosomal RNA
Source: RNAcentral
CAGCCGCCGCGGUAAUACGUAGGUGGCAAGCGUUGUCCGGAAUUAUUGGGUGUAAAGGGCUCGCAGGCGGUUUCUUAAGUCUGAUGUGAAAGCCCCCGGCUCAACCGGGGAGGGUCAUUGGAAACUGGGAAACUUGAGUGCAGAAGAGGAGAGUGGAAUUCCACGUGUAGCGGUGAAAUGCGUAGAGAUGUGGAGGAACACCAGUGGCGAAGGCGACUCUCUGGUCUGUAACUGACGCUGAGGAGCGAAAGCGUGGGGAGCGAACAGGAUUAGAUACCCAAGUAGUCCCUGUCUCUUAUAC